RNAcentral lists this transfer RNA (68 nucleotides) under Pristimantis verecundus (Zacualtipan robber frog). RNAcentral describes it as "tRNA-Val". It matches the Rfam family "tRNA". From Rfam's summary of the family: Transfer RNA (tRNA) molecules are approximately 80 nucleotides in length. Their secondary structure includes four short double-helical elements and three loops (D, anti-codon, and T loops). The record is from RNAcentral. Lineage: Eukaryota; Metazoa; Chordata; Amphibia; Anura; Strabomantidae.
CAGAACAUAACUAAAAAAGUACCUCGUUUACACCGAGUUAAUGUUUGUUAAACUCAAACUGCUCUGAG